This 253-nucleotide ribosomal RNA is filed under the name uncultured bacterium. RNAcentral describes it as "partial 16S ribosomal RNA". It matches the Rfam family "Bacterial small subunit ribosomal RNA", at positions 524 to 776 of the family's 1533-position model. The record is from RNAcentral.
UACAGAGGUCCCAAGCGUUGUUCGGAUUCACUGGGCGUAAAGGGUGCGUAGGCGGUCGGGUAAGUCUGAUGUGAAAUCUCCAAGCUCAACUUGGAAAUGGCAUCGGAUACUAUUCGGCUAGAGGAAUGGAGGGGAGACUGGAAUACUUGGUGUAGCAGUGAAAUGCGUAGGUAUCAAGUGGAACACCAGUGGCGAAGGCGAGUCUCUGGACAUUUCCUGACGCUGAGGCACGAAAGCCAGGGGAGCAAACGGG